This 200-nucleotide unclassified non-coding RNA is filed under the name Helotiales sp. Its description in RNAcentral is "partial internal transcribed spacer 2". The record is from RNAcentral. Lineage: Eukaryota; Fungi; Ascomycota; Leotiomycetes; Helotiales.
UUAAGUUCAGCGGGUAUCCCUACCUGAUCCGAGGUCAACCUUGAAAAUUUGGGGGUUGCUGGCAAGCACUCACAUGGUCCUCCAGAGCGAGAAGAGUUACUACGCUUGAAGCCGAGUGGCGCCGCCACUGAUUUUGAGGCGCACCGCGAGGGGUGACGCCCAAUACCAAGCAGAGCUUGAGGGUUGUAAUGACGCUCAAA